UGGGCACGAGCGACUAUCUCCUACCUCUUCUCCUUGGAUCUUGCAUUCUUGAGAAAAUGCGAGCCGGUGGAGAAAGUUCUUUCUAGAAGGCGAGUGGCAGAUCCGGCAACUAUGGAGUUCUUGAUGCAGCCGAUAAAUAGGCUACUUGGUGGAGUAGCAGAACUCUGCUCGAGGUCAACCAGAACAACAUCCCCAUGAGUCCCCUUCAUUACCCUGUGAUGACGCCGCCGGUGGUCGAGGUGUCGGCCGUGACGGCUUCAAGUGCAGAUGCGCAGCUUUGUGCUCCGGAAGCUGCUCCAGGUGCAGGUAGUGCAGAGAAGCCUCAAGGUCCAGAGAACUCCAUAGAACCUGUUGGCCCGAAAACUCCUGGCUCGACUAAAAGGGCAGGCCACUUAU
Molecule: long non-coding RNA, 396 nt
Organism: Triticum dicoccoides
Lineage: Eukaryota; Viridiplantae; Streptophyta; Magnoliopsida; Poales; Poaceae
Exons: 3
Source: RefSeq, a predicted model, not a curated record